This 253-nucleotide ribosomal RNA is filed under the name uncultured bacterium. RNAcentral describes it as "partial 16S ribosomal RNA". It matches the Rfam family "Bacterial small subunit ribosomal RNA", at positions 524 to 776 of the family's 1533-position model. The record is from RNAcentral.
UACGUAGGGUGCGAGCGUUAAUCGGAAUUACUGGGCGUAAAGCGUGCGCAGGCGGUUCGUUAUGUCUGAUGUGAAAGCCCUGGGCUCAACCUGGGAAUGGCAGUGGAUACUGGAAAGCUAGAGUGCGGUAGAGGGUAGUGGAAUUCCCGGUGUAGCAGUGAAAUGCGUAGAGAUCGGGAGGAACACCAGUGGCGAAGGCGGCUACCUGGACCAGCACUGACACUGAGGCACGAAAGCGUGGGGAGCAAACAGG